RNAcentral lists this small nucleolar RNA (145 nucleotides) under Meriones unguiculatus (Mongolian gerbil). RNAcentral's name for it is "Small nucleolar RNA SNORA73 family (ENSMUGG00000019765.1)". The record is from RNAcentral. Lineage: Eukaryota; Metazoa; Chordata; Mammalia; Rodentia; Muridae.
CCAAAGUGGACACGCCAGGAGGUCACUCUCUCAGGCUCUGUCCCUUUCCACAAAGUAGGAGAUGGGCUUUGUGCCUGCGUAUUUCUAUGACUUGGUAGAGUCCUGUGGAUGAUGACUGAGGAGGCAAACCAUGCAGGAAAAACAG